CCGUCAGACGAACGCUGGCGGCGUGCUUAACACAUGCAAGUCGAACGAUGAAGCCCUUCGGGGUGGAUUAGUGGCGAACGGGUGAGUAACACGUGGGCAAUCUGCCCUUCACUCUGGGACAAGCCCUGGAAACGGGGUCUAAUACCGGAUAACACUCUGUCCCGCAUGGGACGGGGUUAAAAGCUCCGGCGGUGAAGGAUGAGCCCGCGGCCUAUCAGCUUGUUGGUGGGGUGAUGGCCUACCAAGGCGACGACGGGUAGCCGGCCUGAGAGGGCGACCGGCCACACUGGGACUGAGACACGGCCCAGACUCCUACGGGAGGCAGCAGUGGGGAAUAUUGCACAAUGGGCGAAAGCCUGAUGCAGCGACGCCGCGUGAGGGAUGACGGCCUUCGGGUUGUAAACCUCUUUCAGCAGGGAAGAAGCGAAAGUGACGGUACCUGCAGAAGAAGCGCCGGCUAACUACGUGCCAGCAGCCGCGGUAAUACGUAGGGCGCAAGCGUUGUCCGGAAUUAUUGGGCGUAAAGAGCUCGUAGGCGGCUUGUUGCGUCGGUUGUGAAAGCCCGGGGCUUAACCCCGGGUCUGCAGUCGAUACGGGCAGGCUAGAGUGUGGUAGGGGAGAUCGGAAUUCCUGGUGUAGCGGUGAAAUGCGCAGAUAUCAGGAGGAACACCGGUGGCGAAGGCGGAUCUCUGGGCCAUUACUGACGCUGAGGAGCGAAAGCGUGGGGAGCGAACAGGAUUAGAUACCCUGGUAGUCCACGCCGUAAACGUUGGGAACUAGGUGUUGGCGACAUUCCACGUCGUCGGUGCCGCAGCUAACGCAUUAAGUCCCCGCCUUGA
Molecule: ribosomal RNA, 839 nt
Filed under: Streptomyces sp.
Lineage: Bacteria; Bacillati; Actinomycetota; Actinomycetes; Kitasatosporales; Streptomycetaceae
Description: bacterial SSU rRNA
Rfam family: Bacterial small subunit ribosomal RNA
Source: RNAcentral